RNAcentral lists this ribosomal RNA (508 nucleotides) under uncultured Prevotella sp. Its description in RNAcentral is "bacterial SSU rRNA". It matches the Rfam family "Bacterial small subunit ribosomal RNA", at positions 14 to 507 of the family's 1533-position model. Lineage: Bacteria; Pseudomonadati; Bacteroidota; Bacteroidia; Bacteroidales; Prevotellaceae. The record is from RNAcentral.
UAGUCCUGGCGUCAGGAUGAACGCUGGCUACAGGCUUAACACAUGCAAGUCGUGGGGAAACGGCAUUAUGUGCUUGCACAUUCUGGACGUCGACCGGCGCACGGGUGAGUAUCGCGUAUCCAACCUGCCCCUUACUUCGGGGAUACCCCGUUGAAAGACGGCCUAAUACCCGAUGUGUUUCAUUGACGGCAUCCGAUAUGAACAAAGGUUUUCCGGUAAGGGAUGGGGAUGCGUCUGAUUAGCUUGUUGGCGGGGCAACGGCCCACCAAGGCGACGAUCAGUAGGGGUUCUGAGAGGAAGGUCCCCCACAUUGGAACUGAGACACGGUCCAAACUCCUACGGGAGGCAGCAGUGAGGAAUAUUGGUCAAUGGACGCAAGUCUGAACCAGCCAAGUAGCGUGCAGGAUGGACGGCCCUAUGGGUUGUAAACUGCUUUUAUGUGGGAAUAAAUUGGCGCACGUGUGCGCCAUUGCAUGUACCUCAUGAAUAAGGACCGGCUAAUUCCGUG